CGUGAGGACACAGCGAGAAGGCAUCUGCUAUGAACCAGGAGGAGAGCCCUCACCAGAAGGUGAUGGCGAUGGCACCUUCAUCUUGGACUUGCAGCCUCUAGAACUAGGGAAUCCACAUUUCAUCACAAAGGCAGAACAAAACAUCCAUGUUUUCGUUAUCCGGGAGCAAGUCAUGUCGUGGAAAGCAUCAGAAUAUGGUGGACACGUAACCCAUCAGAGGAAGCCCAAAGUUCUCGGUGCCCGGUGUCUCCUGUCCCAGAAGCCCAUACCAGCAAAUCACCUACUCGUGGUUGGAUGAAGGCACUGCACAAGAGACACAUAAAUCAGUUCAUAAAAAAAAGGAUGAGAAUUUUCCAGGAGAAGAAACUAUGGAUAUUAAUGAAAGCCCUGUGGGAAGCCUCACUCUAGCUCGUCUGCCUCCAAAAGAUCAGUGAGCAAGACCUCACAGGUGGACAAAGGACCCUGCAAGACAAAUUGCUCACGUUUGGCAUAAGGCAUUUUGUUUUCAAAGUUCAUUAAAAUUGGAAAUGAGCUAACUAUGAGGUAUUGAGGAAGUGAAGUCAAGCGUCCUAGAAUUUUUUCAAGCCAUAAUGAUGAAUCAGUAACAAAGUCAGAAUCUUGACUUAUGUCACGGAAAGCUCCUGCACCCACUUCAGUUCUGC
Molecule: long non-coding RNA, 662 nt
Filed under: Equus caballus (horse)
Lineage: Eukaryota; Metazoa; Chordata; Mammalia; Perissodactyla; Equidae
Description: lncRNA (ENSECAG00000039431.3)
Source: RNAcentral